Molecule: ribosomal RNA, 512 nt
Filed under: Dicranomyia kauaiensis
Lineage: Eukaryota; Metazoa; Arthropoda; Insecta; Diptera; Limoniidae
Description: partial 16S ribosomal RNA
Rfam family: Bacterial large subunit ribosomal RNA
Source: RNAcentral
GUCUUUUUGUAAUAAAUUUAAAGUCUGACCUGCCCACUGAUGAAUUUUAAAGGGCCGCGGUAUUUUGACCGUGCAAAGGUAGCAUAAUCAUUAGUUUUUUAAUUGAAAGCUUGUAUGAAUGGUUGGACGAAAUAUUUACUGUCUCAUAAAAAUUUGUAUUAGAAAUUAAUUUUUUUGUUAAAAAGCAAAAAUUAUAUUAAAGGACGAGAAGACCCUAUAGAGCUUUAUAAUUUAAUUAUUUAAUUUUUUAAGGAAAUUUUAAAUUUUAUAAAAAUAAUUAUUUUGUUGGGGUGACAAUAAAAUUUAUAAAACUUUUAUUAUAAAUGUUACAUUGAUUAAUGAAUAUUUGAUCCAUUAUUAAUGAUUAAAAAAUUAAGUUACCUUAGGGAUAACAGCGUAAUUUUUUUUAAGAGUUCAUAUCGACAAAAAAGAUUGCGACCUCGAUGUUGGAUUAAGAGUUAUUUUUAGGUGUAGAAGUUUAAAGUUUAGGUCUGUUCGACCUUUGAAUUCUU